GGGCCUGUAGUUCAGUUGGGAGAACGUCACGUUCGCAAUGUGAAGGUCAGGGGUUCAAAUCCCCUCAGGUCCA
RNAcentral lists this transfer RNA (73 nucleotides) under Candidatus Omnitrophota bacterium. RNAcentral's name for it is "Candidatus Omnitrophica bacterium tRNA-Ala". It matches the Rfam family "tRNA". Rfam says of the family: Transfer RNA (tRNA) molecules are approximately 80 nucleotides in length. Their secondary structure includes four short double-helical elements and three loops (D, anti-codon, and T loops). Lineage: Bacteria; Pseudomonadati; Candidatus Omnitrophota. The record is from RNAcentral.